CCAGGGCCAGAGGGCGGUCGCCCGUCCUGCGAACGCUGCCGCCAGCAGCAGCGAAAAACUAAGCCUGGAGCUUGCCAUGGCCCGCCGGUCUCCCCUCUCGGAGAGGCCUGGCCACGUGAGACCCUGGUCAGGCAUCAUCUCUCUUCUCAACUACUUAACUUCCAGAUCUCCUGCCCGUGAUGAAAAUGUCACUGUGAUUCCAACAGAGAGAUCAAGGCUGGGGGUUGGUCCAGUGACUACAGUAUCACCUGCUAAAGAUGAAGAAGAGCCAAGGUCUGAGAUGGAAUCUCUAAAUGUGAGAGAGAAAAAUUUACCAGAGGCAGGACUGUGAUGGUGAUAGGAAAACCUAACUAUAGCUUGUCUUAAAAGCAGGGGAGAAGCUGAGUUGGGAAUGAUCGCAUAAAUUCUUGGAAACCCUCCUAAUAUCAUGUCCAUAUUACUGGAGGAGACAACAUUAAACCUGAUGAAAUGUCUUUUGCGUGCAUUGGAUCCAAAAUAGGUAUGAUAGCAAUAAAGUAAGUAAUAACUCACUUAAGAAAAACAUUUCUAAAAGAAAACAACAAUGUUUAGAGUCAUGAAUGAAAGAAACUAGUGAAAGAUGCAGUGUGUAGACCAGAGACUUCUUUGGGUAUGAGGGAUCUCAUGGACCAGAAAGGCCCAUGGAGAAGAACGUUAAUUACUUCUAUUUAGAAUUUUCUUUAUUAUGUGUGGCUUUGGGUAUACUCCGGAUGGAAAGCACUUGGACAAAUACUGUUGAAUCUGAACUUGAUAGCGUUACCAGAAAUGGAGUAAAUAUCAAUGGAUAUAAGACCUACUACUCAAAGGAACUGAGAGGUGCUGGGUAGAUUCUAGGGAAUCCAUGAGGUCCCACUUACUGUGAGGACUGAUAAUUUGAAACCUUUACGGUCUGUUACGUAAAACCACUGCUUCUCCCUAGGCAGGGAGAUACCUUAACCAGGCAUCCACAAACUCCCUGAAAUUCUAUACAAAACUUGUAUAUGUAUUCUUCUGUGAAGAGGGCCAGAGAUUCCAUCAGAUUCUUCCUUCCCCCUGCCCCGCCCCCGGAAGAUAGUUUCAAGUAAACUCCAUCAAAUUCUUGACAGGCCUGUGACCUCUUUGAUUCCUUAAGCAUCGAUUAUGUUUUACUGAGCCAAAUGGGACUAAAGGGCUUCUUCAGCAGAUGUACAGAUAGAUAGACAGAUAGAUAGAUAGAUAGAUAGAUAGAUAGAUAGAUAGAUAGAUAAAUAGAUUGAUAGAUAGAUGAUAGAUCGAUAGAUAGGCCUAUCUAUAUCUAUAAUACAUCUACAUCUAUAUCUAUACAAGCUGAAAGAUUUUCCAUGUUUUAUAUAUAUCCUGUAAAGCUAAGUACGGAGGGAGGAGGUGGUAUUUUCAGACAAUCAUGUAGGUCUUUUGAUGGCUAAAGAUCUCUUUCACACUCAGACUAGAUUUCACACACAAGGUCCCUGAUACUCAUUUUGUCUUUCAUACCCUUAGUUGCUGCCACUAUUGGUUGAGAUCCAUUUUUCUCCCCAAAGCUGGCAAUGAAAUGGACUAUAAUGUCCAGCUUCACUCUUGUUGUGUGUAAAGAUAAGCCCUUGGAUCCUUUUGGUUUAAUUUAGAGAUUCACUAGUAACCUUUGCAGAAAACAAAAAUAAUAGACAUUGAGCAAUUAUAUAAUUUUUAUAAUCCUGGUCCUGAUCAGUAAUUCCCAAACAUUUCCAGAUGGUAACUGGAAGCCCUUUAAGUUAAUACUUAUGCUUUUAUUCCUGUGGGUUGGAGCUUACAUACAGCACACAAAUGUAUGCACCCACACACAGAUACACAGACAUAUAUACACAUUUUGAUCCUGCCGUAGAAAACCCUUUCUUCAUGCCCCUCUUCCGACCAGGCGAGUUUCAUUAUGGCAGAAUUACUUGUGCCUCCUUACUUCAAGUGGCCUUAGUUCAGAGCCUCUUCAGACUAUUCCUGGGCCUUUGUCUGGUUGUAAGAACAGACAUGUAGUCAAAGUCAACUCUCCCUCCUCACAUUACCACUCACACAAACUCUAACCUAUACAUGAACUGGUUAAGUACUCACUGGGUUCACAAUCUUUAUUUGUAAUUUAGUUUGAAUACUUUAAUUAUAUGACUAAAUUGACAGGAUACUGAACACUGAUGACUCUUCAAGAAACAAAAGUUCUAAAUGGGGUGAAGAGAAGAAAGUAAGUCUGAGUGAAGGUGGAAGAAGCGAGAUAAUAAGAAAGUAAUGCCAGGUACGGCGGUUCACGCCUGUAAUCCCAGCACUUUGGGAGGCCAAGGCGGGUGGAUCACUUGAGGUCAGGAGUUCGAGACCAGCCUGGCCAACAUGGUGAGACCCCCCG
Non-coding RNA from Chlorocebus sabaeus (green monkey), 2359 nucleotides. NCBI's taxonomy places the organism in Eukaryota, Metazoa, Chordata, Mammalia, Primates, Cercopithecidae. The record is from RefSeq and is a predicted model, not a curated record.